ACAAAAGUCACCACCGCCGCGCCGAGCUCUCAUCCUCUGAGCUGACCAUUAGCUCGUGGACCAGGGGCAGAGGGGAAAACCCCCAAUUUUUUCUUAAAUUAAUAUGCAUUUUCCAGCGAUUUCGAACAAGCAAUGGCAAAUCCUGAUGAUUCUUCGUGUUUUCUUAUGUUUUCCCAGCAAAUCACUGGUGGAGAUUCAAUUUGCGGGGAUCAUUACCCGCCUCAUCGGCGUUUGAGGGCUGCAAGAUCUACGCCUUUUGAGAAUUAGGGGAAUCGCAAAAAUCCGGUGCUCUGUCGCCGUUU
This 302-nucleotide long non-coding RNA is filed under the name Salvia miltiorrhiza (redroot sage). RNAcentral's name for it is "long non-coding RNA (SMIL_LNC001481)". Lineage: Eukaryota; Viridiplantae; Streptophyta; Magnoliopsida; Lamiales; Lamiaceae. The record is from RNAcentral.